Molecule: ribosomal RNA, 110 nt
Filed under: Phycisphaerae bacterium
Lineage: Bacteria; Pseudomonadati; Planctomycetota; Phycisphaerae
Source: RNAcentral
GUCGGUGACCCAAUAGGCAGGGGGAGACACCCGAUCCCAUCCCGAACUCGGCCGUUAAGCCCCUGUCGCCGAUGAUACUGCCUCGUGCGGGAAAGUAGGUAUCGCCGACU